Long non-coding RNA from Fukomys damarensis (Damara mole-rat), 792 nucleotides. The record is from Ensembl. Lineage: Eukaryota; Metazoa; Chordata; Mammalia; Rodentia; Bathyergidae.
GUUCCGUUUUAUUUCAAUUAACUGUCAGUUCAGGCUGUUGAGGGGCAGAUUCCAGGGGACAGUAAAUCCAAGUCAGCAAGAUUUCCCUGCAGGUGCACCUUGUAGGUCUCGUCAUUAUGACUUCAUCACGGCCUCAGAAGGCCCCACCUCCUCGUGCCAUCCCAAGGGGAGAUUUCAACCUGUGGAUUUGGGGGCACACGGUCAGACCAUAGCAACCUUCUACUGAUUGGAAAUGUCUCUGUUUUUGUCACCCCUGAUGCAGUAUGGCCUCGUGUACAAAAGGGGCUCGGUAUUUGCUUGCUGGACAAAUGAGUGUUUUGGGCAGGUUCCUCCCUCGGGCAGGCUCCUUCAUCCACUUCAUCCACAGCACACAAGAAGACCAGCGUGUUGCUCUGAGUUCCUCCCACCCUGGCUCUUCCCCUCUAAAGGCUGGUGGAGUAAAUCGAGAUGCAUGAAUUUUCUGCAACAAUAGCAAACAUCACCAGGAAAAUUGGAUUUCUCUGUUUGGUGGCCACAGCUUCAUCUCCUCUCUCUGGAAUAACUUCUGUGUCUUACAUGGCAGUCCAGUUCCACACAGCUUUUAGAACUGUGGAAGUCUGUGCAGCUCACAAGGAGUCAGAGCUCCACACCUACAAAAGCCAAAGGAUGAGACAAAGCCUCUGGAAAGUCCUCACCAAGAGCGGAGGGAUGCCAUCUGGAACAAAAUUGUCUCACCUUCACUCAAGCACCCACAAACGCUGAAGAUCAUUUUGAAAGGUUCUUCCUUCUAGAUUCCGGAAGUCUAUUCUACCC